RNAcentral lists this non-coding RNA (45 nucleotides) under Schistosoma bovis. The record is from RNAcentral. RNAcentral also lists the same sequence under 1 other name. Lineage: Eukaryota; Metazoa; Platyhelminthes; Trematoda; Strigeidida; Schistosomatidae.
AUCCAGCUGAUGAGUCCCGAAUAGGAUGGAACAUGCGUUCUGGAU